Nymphaea colorata (pocket water lily) is the source of this 72-nucleotide small nucleolar RNA. RefSeq annotates it as small nucleolar RNA R160. The record is from RefSeq and is a predicted model, not a curated record. Lineage: Eukaryota; Viridiplantae; Streptophyta; Magnoliopsida; Nymphaeales; Nymphaeaceae. The transcript has a single exon.
GGCAAGAUGAUGAUAUAUUUUUCUGAAUUCAAUGUGGAAAUACUAUUUCGUCUUCAAAGUUCUCUGAUUGCC